Molecule: ribosomal RNA, 253 nt
Filed under: uncultured bacterium
Lineage: Bacteria
Description: partial 16S ribosomal RNA
Rfam family: Bacterial small subunit ribosomal RNA
Source: RNAcentral
UACGUAGGGUGCAAGCGUUGUCCGGAAUUACUGGGCGUAAAGAGCUCGUAGGCGGUUUGUCGCGUCUGCUGUGAAAACUCGGGGCUUAACCCCGGGCCUGCAGUGGGUACGGGCAGACUAGAGUGCGGUAGGGGAGACUGGAAUUCCUGGUGUAGCGGUGAAAUGCGCAGAUAUCAGGAGGAACACCAAUGGCGAAGGCAGCACUCUGGGACGUGACUGACGCUGAGACGCGAAAGCGUGGGGAGCAAACAGG